RNAcentral lists this small RNA (533 nucleotides) under Pongo abelii (Sumatran orangutan). RNAcentral describes it as "retained intron". The record is from RNAcentral. Lineage: Eukaryota; Metazoa; Chordata; Mammalia; Primates; Hominidae.
AAUAACAUGACCUUCCUUCUGUAGGCCCCAUUUCUCCUUUUUGGGGCAGGCCACCCUUCCCAGGCUGGGCUGAGAGAGCUGGGUGGACUGGGGACUAAGUCCACAAGGGAUGAUAUACCUGACAGUGAGUGAUGCGGAGGGGCCACCCUCACCAUGCUGCCUAUUGCCCACUUCAGAAAUGCUACACUCCCCGCUGCCCUGUACUGGUGGCAAACCCAGUGGGGACACUCCAGAUGUCUUCAUCAGCUACCGCCGGAACUCAGGUUCCCAGCUGGCCAGGUGCACCUGCAGCUGCAUGGCUUCAGUGUCUUCAUUGAUGUGGAGAAGCUGGAAGCAGGCAAGUUCGAGGACAAACUCAUCCAGAGUGUCAUGGGUGCCCGUAACUUUGUGCUGGUGCUGUCACCUGGAGCACUGGAUAAGUGCAUGCAAGACCAUGACUGCAAGGAUUGGGUGCAUAAGGAGAUUGUGACUGCUUUAAGCUGUGGCAAGAACAUUGUGCCCAUCAUUGAUGGCUUCGAGUGGCCUGAGCCCCA